GGCUACCGCUAUUGGAGUUCGAUUAAGCCAUGCGAGUCGAGAGUCCUCGGGACUCGGCGUACCGCUCAGUAACACGUGGGUAACCUGCCCUAUGCUGGGGAAUAACCUCGGGAAACUGAGAAUAAUGCCCCAUAGCCCACUACGCCUGGAACGGUGAGUGGGUCAAAGCCCCGGCGGCAUAGGAUGGGCCUGCGCCGUAUCAGGUUGUAGGGGGUGUAAAGUACCCUCUAGCCAUCAACGCGUACGGGUGUUGGGAGACAUUGCCCGGAGAUGGAUUCUGAGACACGAAUCCAGACCCUACGGGGUGCAGCAGGCGCGGAAACUUGGCAAUGCGAGAAAUCGUGACCAGGGAACUCCAAGUGCGUAGGGUAAGACCUACGCUUUUCUUGACUCUUCAAAGGUCUUGGAAUAAGGGGUGGGUAAGGACGGUGCCAGCCGCCGCGGUAAUACCGGCGCCUCAAGUGGUAGUCGCUUUUAUUGGGCCUAAAACGUCCGUAGCCGGUCUGGUGCAUUCGUGGGUAAAUCAACCCGCUCAACGGGUUGAAUUCUGCGAGCACGGCCAGACUUGGGACCGGGAGAGGUGUGGGGUACUCUCAGGGUAGGGGUAAAAUCCUGUCAUCCUGAGAGGACCACCUGUUGCGAAGGCGCCACACUAGAACGGAUCCGACGGUCAGGGACGAAACCUAGGGGCACGAACCGGAUUAGAUACCCGGGUAGUCCUAGGUGUAAACGCUGUGGACUUGAUGUUGGGGGCGCUCCGAGCGCUCUCAGUGUCGAAGCGAAGGUGAUAAGUCCACUGCCUGGGGAGUACGGUCGCAAGGCUGAAACUUAAAGGAAUUGGCGGGGGAGCACUGCAACCUGAGGAUUGUGCGGUUU
Molecule: ribosomal RNA, 876 nt
Filed under: uncultured archaeon
Lineage: Archaea
Description: bacterial SSU rRNA
Rfam family: Archaeal small subunit ribosomal RNA
Source: RNAcentral